RNAcentral lists this ribosomal RNA (1464 nucleotides) under marine metagenome. Its description in RNAcentral is "bacterial LSU rRNA". It matches the Rfam family "Bacterial large subunit ribosomal RNA", at positions 350 to 1982 of the family's 2925-position model. The record is from RNAcentral.
ACCAUCCAUAGAAGGUUUAAGUCCUGUAGAGUUAAAAACUAUAAUUAGAGUAACAACGGAUUAUGAUAAAUUUGUUGAUAUUUUCGGGGAUCUACCCUCGAGCCUUAAUAAUCUUAAAUAACCGAUAGUGAACAAGUACCGUGAGGGAAAGGUGAAAUAGAACUUUUUUAGAGUUAAAAGAACCUAAAAUUCAGUGCAGACAAUCUGUUGGAGCUCUCUACGAGUGACAGCGUACCUUUUGCAUAAUGGACCAAUAAGUUUAUAUUUAUAGCAAGCUUAAUUAAAUUGUAGGCGUAGAUAAAUCAAGCUUUAAAAAGCUUUUGUAGUUAUAAAUAUAAGACCCGAAGCUGAGUGAUCUAACCAUGAGCAGGUUGAAAGCUUUAUAGAAAUAUAGGCCGGAGGACCGAACCCGUAUCUGUUGAAAAAGAUUGGGAUGACUUGUGGUUAGGAGUGAAAGGCUAAUCAAACUCAGGUAUAGCCGGUUUUCUGCGAAAUAUAUUUAAGUAUAGCCUACAAAUAAGUUGAGAUAGGGUAGAGCACUUUUAGGACACGGGGGAUUUUUAAUCUUACUUAAUCUUAAAAAACUUCGAAUAUGUCUUUAACAUUUUGUGGAGUCAGACUAUAGGCGCUAAGGUUUAUAGUCGAGAGGGAAACAGCCCAGAUUAUUCGAUAAGGACUUCAAUUAUUAUUUAAGUGAUAAGAUUGUAAAAAAAUUAAGACAAUCAUAAAGUAGGCUUGGAAGCAGCCACCUUUUUAAGAAAGCGUAACAGCUCAUUGAUCAAGUUUUUUUGCUUCGAAAAUGUAUAGAGACUAAAAAUAAUAUCCGAAUCGAUAAAAUUAUGGUAGCAGAACGUUCUGUACGCUUGAGAAGGUCAGUCGUAAGAUUGGCUGGAGGCAUCAGAAGUGAGCAUAUUGGUAUUAGUAGCUAAAACAAUGUUUAAUCAUUGUCGCCGUAAAUCUAAGGUUUCCGAUUCAACAUUUAAUGGAAUCGGAUAUUAAGCGGUCCUUUAGGCAAAUUACAAAUGUAUAAGCUGAUAGGAAAUAUAAGUGUGACAGAAUUUGAUUGAUAUUAUAAUUUAUUGAUUUAUUAUAGUAUUUAAAAAUUUUCCGGAAAUAGUACUUAUAGCAAAGACCGUACCCUAAACCGACACAGGUAGAUAGGUAGAAUAUACUAAGGCGUUCAAGAUAACUACGUUGAAGGAACUCGGCAAAUUUGCUCUGUAACUUCGGAAGAAAGAGUGACGCCAAGAGGGCAACCUUUUGGUGUUGACACUAAAGAGGAAGAAGCGACUGUUUACUAAAAACACAAGUCUCUGCUAAUUCGAGAGAAGACGUAUAGGGACUGACACCUGCCCGGUGCUGCUAGGUAACGUGGAUAUGCUAAGGCAUUGAAAUUAAGCCCCAGUAAACGGCGGCUGUAACUCUGACGGUCCAAAGGUAGCGAAAUUCCUUGUCGGGUAAGUU